RNAcentral lists this ribosomal RNA (325 nucleotides) under uncultured fungus. RNAcentral's name for it is "partial small subunit ribosomal RNA". It matches the Rfam family "Eukaryotic small subunit ribosomal RNA", at positions 30 to 365 of the family's 1831-position model. Lineage: Eukaryota; Fungi. The record is from RNAcentral.
GCUUGUCUCAAAGAUUAAGCCAUGCAUGUCUAAGUAUAAACGAUUUUAUACGUGAAACUGCGAAUGGCUCAUUAUAUCAGUUAUAGUUUAUUUGAUGGUCCUUACUACUUGGAUAACCGUAGUAAUUCUAGAGCUAAUACAUGCAUCAAGCCCUGACUUCGGAAGGGGUGUAUUUAUUAGAUGGAAACCAAUGCGGGGCAACCCGGAUUCUGGUGAUUCAUAAUAACUUUCGGAUCGAUCUUCGGAUCGAUGCAUCAUUCAAGUUUCUGCCCUAUCAGCUUUGGAUGGUAGGGUAUUGGCCUACCAUGGCUUUAACGGGUAACGG